This 147-nucleotide non-coding RNA is filed under the name uncultured Anaerofustis sp. Lineage: Bacteria; Bacillati; Bacillota; Clostridia; Eubacteriales; Eubacteriaceae. The record is from RNAcentral.
AAAGGAACCUAGUUGUUCUAAAUGCUCUGUCAGUGAUCAGGAAUUUUCGGGCAGGACGCCCGAAAAAAAUGCAGUUGAGCCAUGGAUGGCGAAUCUGCAUCGGUUCCGUCCACAGAAAAGAACAUACCAGAGCAUAUAGAACAACUU